GAUGAACGCUGGCGGCGUGCCUAAUACAUGCAAGUCGAGCGAAUGGAUUGAGAGCUUGCUCUUAUGAAGUUAGCGGCGGACGGGUGAGUAACACGUGGGUAACCUGCCCAUAAGACUGGGAUAACUCCGGUAAACCGGGGCUAAUACCGGAUAACAUUUUGAACCGCAUGGUUCGAAAGUGAAAGGCGGCUCCGGCUGUCACUUAUGGAUGGACCCGCGUCGCAUUAGCUAGUUAGUGAGGGAACGGCUCACCAAGGCGACGAUGCGUAGCCGGCCUGAGAGGGUGAUCGGCCACACUGGGACUGAGACACGGCCCAGACUCCUACGGGAGGCAGCAGUAGGGAAUCUUCCGCAAUGGACGAAAGUCUGACGGAGCAACGCCGCGUGAGUGAUGAAGGCUUUCGGGUCGUAAAACUCUGUUGUUAGGGAAGAACAAGUGCUAGUUGAAUAAGCUGGCACCUUGACGGUACCUAACCAGAAAGCCACGGCUAACUACGUGCCAGCCGCCGCCGUAA
RNAcentral lists this ribosomal RNA (515 nucleotides) under uncultured bacterium. RNAcentral describes it as "partial 16S ribosomal RNA". It matches the Rfam family "Bacterial small subunit ribosomal RNA", at positions 28 to 523 of the family's 1533-position model. The record is from RNAcentral.